This 82-nucleotide transfer RNA is filed under the name Yarrowia lipolytica. It matches the Rfam family "tRNA". Rfam says of the family: Transfer RNA (tRNA) molecules are approximately 80 nucleotides in length. Their secondary structure includes four short double-helical elements and three loops (D, anti-codon, and T loops). Further hydrogen bonds mediate the characteristic L-shaped molecular structure. tRNAs have two regions of fundamental functional importance: the anti-codon, which is responsible for specific mRNA codon recognition, and the 3' end, to which the tRNAs corresponding amino acid is attached (by aminoacyl-tRNA synthetases). tRNAs cope with the degeneracy of the genetic code in two manners: having more than one tRNA (with a specific anti-codon) for a particular amino acid; and 'wobble' base-pairing, i.e. permitting non-standard base-pairing at the 3rd anti-codon position. RNAcentral also lists the same sequence under 1 other name. The record is from Rfam by way of RNAcentral. Lineage: Eukaryota; Fungi; Ascomycota; Dipodascomycetes; Dipodascales.
GCCUGGCUAGCUCAAUCGGUAGAGCGUGAGACUCUUAUUCUAAGGUAUCUCAAGGCUGUGGGUUCAAGCCCCACGUCGGGCU